UACGGGGGGGGCAAGCGUUGUUCGGAAUUACUGGGCGUAAAGGGCUCGUAGGUGGCCAACUAAGUCAUACGUGAAAUCCCUCGGCUUAACCGGGGAACUGCAUCUGAUACUGGAUGGCUUGAGUUCGGGAGAGGGAUGCGGAAUUCCAGGUGUAGCGGUGAAAUGCGUAGAUAUCUGGAGGAACACCGGUGGCGAAGGCGGCAUCCUGGACCGACACUGACGCUGAGGAGCGAAAGCCAGGGGGGCAAACGGG
RNAcentral lists this ribosomal RNA (253 nucleotides) under uncultured bacterium. RNAcentral describes it as "partial 16S ribosomal RNA". It matches the Rfam family "Bacterial small subunit ribosomal RNA", at positions 524 to 776 of the family's 1533-position model. The record is from RNAcentral.